This 424-nucleotide ribosomal RNA is filed under the name uncultured Nitrosospira sp. Its description in RNAcentral is "bacterial SSU rRNA". It matches the Rfam family "Bacterial small subunit ribosomal RNA", at positions 202 to 622 of the family's 1533-position model. Lineage: Bacteria; Pseudomonadati; Pseudomonadota; Betaproteobacteria; Nitrosomonadales; Nitrosomonadaceae. The record is from RNAcentral.
AAAGACCUUAUGCUUUUGGAGCGGCCGAUGUCUGAUUAGCUAGUUGGUGAGGUAAAGGCUUACCAAGGCAACGAUCAGUAGUUGGUCUGAGAGGACGACCAGCCACACUGGGACUGAGACACGGCCCAGACUCCUACGGGAGGCAGCAGUGGGGAAUUUUGGACAAUGGGCGAAAGCCUGAUCCAGCAAUGCCGCGUGAGUGAAGAGGGCCUUCGGGUUGUAAAGCUCUUUCAGCCGGAACGAAACGGUCACGGCUAAUACCUGUGACUACUGACGGUACCGGAAGAAGAAGCACCGGCUAACUACGUGCCAGCAGCCGCGGUAAUACGUAGGGUGCAAGCGUUAAUCGGAAUUACUGGGCGUAAAGGGUGCGCAGGCGGUUCUGUAAGUCAGAUGUGAAAUCCCCGGGCUUAACCUGGGAACU